AGACAUUAGCUUACACCCUGGAGCAUAGGACAUAAAGGACUUUUGUCUCUUUAUUGUGAACUGCCACCAUCCCUAUCCUAGAGCCAUGGAACCUGUCGGACAUUCAUUUAUCAAUGGCAUGUGCACCAUAUGUAUGCAGUGCCUUCAGAAGUCAAAAGAAGGCAUUAGAUUCCCUAGAACUGGAGCUAUGGAUGGCUGUGAGCCACCAUGGAGGGGUUGGGCACUGAACCAGGAACUCUACAAAAGCAGCCAAUGCUCUUACCUGCUGAGCCAUCUCUGUAGCCUUAGCCCUCAGGUUCAGCUGGUUGAGACCAUCUUUGCUGUGGGCGAAAACAGCUUGCCCAUCCCCUCUCUUUGAGGAGUCAUACUGUGAGAAGCCAUUCUGGACUCCCUGGCCAGCCCGGGCCACACCCUAAGAUGGCACCUGACAGAAAUCUGUGCCAGGCAGUAAACAAGCCCAUAUUUGGUGGAUGGCUCGCCCUUAAUCCCUGAUUGGCUGAGCAAGCCUGCCUGGUGAGGUGAUGUGACCUGUGGUGAUUGGUUGAGGCGUGGUUGUGGCAUGAGUGCAUAAAAACGCUUGUACCCCAAGGCUCGGGGGAGUUGAAGAGAGAAGCUGCCUGAAUAAACUGCAUUAAGAAGAACUGGUGGUUGCGUUUUCCUUGCUGGUCAAGGUGGACAUAACAAGUGGUGCUGAAACCCGGGACCCGACUCCCCCACUGAAGAGGUUCAGAGCUUUCUGAAGUCAGGGUCUGUCGACAGGGUGAGUACGAAUCGCACAGAGCCAGUGUGGGUUCCGGAGUGGCUAGUGCAAUGCUGUCAAAAUGAAGAAGCUGAUCUUGCUGGUGAUGAGCAUGUGUCUGCCCCUGAUGGGUGCAGAACCCAGAUGGGGGAUACCGUCGGUGUUUCCCAGGCCGAUGCCUCUUCGUCAUGAUGCUUCCUGUUAAGAAAUUCCUGUUAAGAAAUUGGACUGCAAAUUUUGAUGGCAAGAUGAAUGAGCUUCACUCGGCGAUUGUCACUGUGAAUUCUACCCCAGUGGAUCCUGGCUUGGCAUCGGGACUAUCCUCUUGGAUUGCUGGCAUGAUGAAUCAUCUUAAAGAAUGGGCUCGGAUAGGUGCCCUCGCUGUGGCCCUUGUUUUGGCAUGCAUGUUGUGUGUAUGGUGUAUGUGUCGGUUGUGGAAUGCCCAGGUCCGCACUGCCGCCACGGUGGUGUAAGCUUUUGCGGCAGUGGAAACAGGGCAGUCACCUCAGAUUUGGCUUGCUGCCAUGAAGAAUGAACAAUGAAGCCAUCACUCCGUAGGAUUGUAAGGCUAAGCACUGCACAGAGGUUAGUCUGGAAGCUAUUUGACGAUCUCUGGGAGGUAUAUCUGAUUGCAUGAGGGUUGAGUGUCCUAGUGUCUUUCCCCCAGGAAAAACAGUAUGGGAGCAGGUCAAGGUUGCUCUGGGUAAGAACCUAUGAGCCUAAGAGCCAAUCCUGUACAUGGCCCCUAUUUCUGCACACUGGGAAUCAGACCUCUAUCUUCACCCACGGAGCUUGCUUCAAAAGAAUAUAAAAGGGGAAAUUGUGGGAACCCAUUCCCUGGCCAGCCCAGGCCGCACCCUAAGAUGGCGCCUGACAGAAAUCUGUGCCAGGCAGUAAAUAAGCCCAUAUUUGGUGAAUGGCUCACCCUUAAUCCCUGAUUGGCUGAGCAAGCCUGCCUGGUGAGGUGAUGUGACCUGUGGUGAUUGGUUGAGGCAUGGUUGUGGCUUGAGUGCAUAAAAACGCUUGUAUCCUGAGGCUCAGGAGAGUUGAAGAGAGAAGCUGCCUGAAUAAACUACAUUAAGAAGAA
This 1826-nucleotide long non-coding RNA is filed under the name Mus musculus (house mouse). RNAcentral's name for it is "predicted gene, 40962 (Gm40962)". The record is from RNAcentral. Lineage: Eukaryota; Metazoa; Chordata; Mammalia; Rodentia; Muridae.